Molecule: ribosomal RNA, 464 nt
Filed under: Vreelandella stevensii
Lineage: Bacteria; Pseudomonadati; Pseudomonadota; Gammaproteobacteria; Oceanospirillales; Halomonadaceae
Description: partial 16S ribosomal RNA
Rfam family: Bacterial small subunit ribosomal RNA
Source: RNAcentral
CCUACGGGCGGCUGCAGUGGGGAAUAUUGGACAAUGGGCGAAAGCCUGAUCCAGCCAUGCCGCGUGUGUGAAGAAGGCCUUCGGGUUGUAAAGCACUUUCAGUGGGGAAGAAAGCCUUGGGGCUAAUACCCUCGAGGAAGGACAUCACCCACAGAAGAAGCACCGGCUAACUCCGUGCCAGCAGCCGCGGUAAUACGGAGGGUGCGAGCGUUAAUCGGAAUUACUGGGCGUAAAGCGCGCGUAGGUGGUCUGAUAAGCCGGUUGUGAAAGCCCCGGGCUCAACCUGGGAACGGCAUCCGGAACUGUCAGGCUAGAGUGCAGGAGAGGAAGGUAGAAUUCCCGGUGUAGCGGUGAAAUGCGUAGAGAUCGGGAGGAAUACCAGUGGCGAAGGCGGCCUUCUGGACUGUCACGGACGCUGAGGUGCGAAAGCGUGGGUAGCAAACAGGAUUAAUACCCUGGUAGUC